GCGCCUCUAGCUCAGUUGGUAGAGCACCUGACUCUUAAUCAGGGUGUCCGGGGUUCGAGCCCCCGGAGGCGCACCA
This 76-nucleotide transfer RNA is filed under the name Clostridiales bacterium. Its description in RNAcentral is "tRNA-Lys". It matches the Rfam family "tRNA". Rfam says of the family: Transfer RNA (tRNA) molecules are approximately 80 nucleotides in length. Their secondary structure includes four short double-helical elements and three loops (D, anti-codon, and T loops). Lineage: Bacteria; Bacillati; Bacillota; Clostridia; Eubacteriales. The record is from RNAcentral. RNAcentral also lists the same sequence under 1 other name.